Long non-coding RNA from Poecilia reticulata (guppy), 1037 nucleotides. RefSeq lists it as uncharacterized. NCBI's taxonomy places the organism in Eukaryota, Metazoa, Chordata, Actinopteri, Cyprinodontiformes, Poeciliidae. The record is from RefSeq and is a predicted model, not a curated record.
UGACACAACUUCUCCUGCUGUGGAAAGCACCCUCUCACAUGGCACAGAUGAGGCUGGAGUGCAAAGGUAUUGCAAUGACAACUGGUAGAGGUUAGGAUAAAUGGUCUUGUGGUUCUGCCAGUAUGUCAUUGGAUCCUGACAUCUGGUAAUAUUGCCCUCUGCAAGAUAUCUGCACCUCCUGGAUGGCAUCAGCUGUGGCACUUUUGGUCUGCCUGCCUACUUCGGUGUCAAGAUGGUGCCAAAGGUUAUCUAAAAACAACAAAUCGACAUUUUAGUACAUCUUGUCCAAACAAACAACAAAUAAUGCGGAAUAACAUGCCUGAGUUGGGUGCAGACAGCUGUUGUGAAGAUGGUCCCGGCCGGGGGCUCAUUUGUGUGUCCGAUAAUAGAUGCAUAUUCUGACCGCAGUCUACUGAUGACCUCAUUGCAUCUGGAGGAACUGCGGAACCCAAGUGAUUUAAAUCUGGGGUCUAGAAGUGUUGCUAGGGUCAACGCACUUUUUGACUCCAGAUUGGAAGCAGAGUCUGUGACUCGACGCUUCAGGUUUUYAUGUAGGUGUUUGGCUGGCUGUGUGCGCAAGGUUGAUGCAUUACUCUCUAGAGCAAGAUGGAGCAUUUUCAUCAUUGGGAUGACCUUGGAUCCUGACACUCGCCUCUCUUCAGACAACUCCACUGUAGCUUGACGGAAAAGAGCAAGCACAAGAAGUGUUUCUCCUGUAUGCUCAUCAGCUGUUUUUGGUUGCGUUUACUGUGCGCACCAACAGACUAGGUGAACACUGGAAAUAGAGAGACUUCUAAUGGCUUUCUUCUUUGCACUCAUCGAAGGAAGGAACUGCAAUGGCUGCUCAGAAGAGGGAAGAGGGCGGCCAGAACUGCUCUGGGUCGCAGAGAUGAUCCUCUGGAGAGCUGCACACAGAAACAGUUUGUCAGGAUUCAAUGGAAGGACACCAAGAGUUUCUGGUUCAGAGGAAGUGUCACAUAAAAUGGACUUUUUUCAGCUUCACAUCAUGUUAUAAUGUUAUUCCCUCAUCGAAAACA